This 507-nucleotide ribosomal RNA is filed under the name uncultured eukaryote. RNAcentral's name for it is "bacterial SSU rRNA". It matches the Rfam family "Eukaryotic small subunit ribosomal RNA", at positions 26 to 549 of the family's 1831-position model. The record is from RNAcentral.
CGAUGUAUGCUUUGUCCAAAGAUUAAGCCAUGCAAGUGUCAGUUCACCAAAUAUUGUGAAACUGCGAACGGCUCAUUAAAUCAUUUAUAAUUUACUUGACAGUCAGCUUACUAUCGAAUAACCGGGGUAAUUCUAGAGCUAAUACGUACAACAAGCCUGUUUUGCAGGCUGUAUUUAUUGAAUUCAAAACUGGGGCCGCGAGGCGGGGUGAUUCACAAUAACUGGACGGAUCGGGGGUGUAUGCCUGCAACGUUUCAAUCAAAUUUCUGCCCUAUCAACUUUCGAUGGUAAGGUAGGGGCUUACCAUGGUGAUAACGGGUAACGGGAAAUAAGGGUUCAAUUCCGGAAAGGGAGCCUGAAAAAUGGCUACCACGUCCAAGGAUGGCAGCAGGCGCGCAAAUUACCCAAUGCCAAUACGGCGAGGUAGUGACAAAAAAUAACGAUGCGGGGCCGCAAGGCUUUGCAAUUGGAAUGGGAUGGGAGUAAAUAUUUUUUCAAGUAACGAUG